CAACCUUAACACAGCAAGACAACUCUUCCGAAACCUGUAUUAAACAAAGCACUUUAGAACAAUAGUAAUUCAUUUUGUUUCUCCUAUUUCAUUCCUAGUUGUUCUGGAAAUAAAAGAUUGUUUAAGUGGGAUAACUGUACUGUAUUAAAACAUGAUCACACACAUACAGAAUUGGUGGCUUUUUGGACAUCGGAAUCUAUAAAAG
Molecule: non-coding RNA, 205 nt
Organism: Pelobates cultripes (western spadefoot toad)
Lineage: Eukaryota; Metazoa; Chordata; Amphibia; Anura; Pelobatidae
Source: the annotation of a GenBank genome assembly